AUUGAACGCUGGCGGCAGGCUUAACACAUGCAAGUCGAGCGAGCGGCGGACGGGUGAGUAAUGUCUGGGCAACUGCCUGAUGGAGGGGGAUCACUACUGGAAACGGUCGCUAAUUCCGCAUACCAUCAGAUUUGCCCAUAUGGGAUUAGUUGGUAGGUGGGGUAAUGGCUAACCUAGGCGACGAUCCCUAGCGGGUCUGCGAGGAUGACCAGCCACACUGGAACUGAGCACGGGCCCAGACUCCUACGGGAGGAAGCAGUGGGGAAUAUUGCACAAGGGGCGAAAUCCUGAUGCAGCAAGGCCGCGGGUGGGAAGAAGGCCUUCGGGUUGUAAAGCACUUUCAGCGAGGAGGCGUUACUCGCAGAAGAAGCAACGGCUAACUACGUGCCAGCAGCCGCGGUAAUUC
Molecule: ribosomal RNA, 406 nt
Filed under: uncultured bacterium
Lineage: Bacteria
Description: partial 16S ribosomal RNA
Rfam family: Bacterial small subunit ribosomal RNA
Source: RNAcentral